GCUGGAGUGGCGGAAUUGGCAGACGCACGGGACUCAAAAUCCCGCGUUCUUCACUGAGCAUGUGGGUUCGACCCCCACCUCCAGCA
Molecule: transfer RNA, 86 nt
Filed under: Acidobacteriota bacterium
Lineage: Bacteria; Pseudomonadati; Acidobacteriota
Description: tRNA-Leu
Rfam family: tRNA
About the family: Transfer RNA (tRNA) molecules are approximately 80 nucleotides in length.
Source: RNAcentral